RNAcentral lists this ribosomal RNA (252 nucleotides) under Micrococcus luteus. Its description in RNAcentral is "partial 16S ribosomal RNA". It matches the Rfam family "Bacterial small subunit ribosomal RNA", at positions 1283 to 1532 of the family's 1533-position model. Lineage: Bacteria; Bacillati; Actinomycetota; Actinomycetes; Micrococcales; Micrococcaceae. The record is from RNAcentral.
CGGUCUCAGUUCGGAUUGGGGUCUGCAACUCGACCCCAUGAAGUCGGAGUCGCUAGUAAUCGCAGAUCAGCAACGCUGCGGUGAAUACGUUCCCGGGCCUUGUACACACCGCCCGUCAAGUCACGAAGUCGGUAACACCCGAAGCCGGUGGCCUAACCCUUGUGGGAGGGAGCCGUCGAAGGUGGGACCAGCGAUUGGGACUAAGUCGUAACAAGGUAGCCGUACCGGAAGGUGCGGCUGGAUCACCUCCUU